AAUUCUCAAAACCCUCUUUUCUAGAGGAUUUUGGACUUGGAGGUUUAGUGCUUGCCUUUGGCUCUCAAAGGCGAGCUCCUCUCAAAUGAAUCAGUGGGGUCUGCUUUGCUGGUCCUUGACGUGAUAAGAUGUUUUGACGUUUUGGACUUGGCACUGUAUGUUGGACACCUGCUUCUAACCGUCCGUCUCGUGGACAAACGAUGGUGCUCCGGUCUCCUCCAUUCACUUUGGCGGGAGGCUGGACCCACGAAGAAAA
This 256-nucleotide unclassified non-coding RNA is filed under the name uncultured Russula. RNAcentral's name for it is "sequence contains ITS2". The record is from RNAcentral. Lineage: Eukaryota; Fungi; Basidiomycota; Agaricomycetes; Russulales; Russulaceae.